GUGGCUCAGUGGUAGAGUGCUUGCCUUGCAGGUAUGAGGCCCUGGGUUCGAUUUCUCAGC
This 60-nucleotide transfer RNA is filed under the name Dipodomys ordii (Ord's kangaroo rat). It matches the Rfam family "tRNA", at positions 7 to 64 of the family's 71-position model. From Rfam's summary of the family: Transfer RNA (tRNA) molecules are approximately 80 nucleotides in length. Their secondary structure includes four short double-helical elements and three loops (D, anti-codon, and T loops). The record is from Rfam by way of RNAcentral. Lineage: Eukaryota; Metazoa; Chordata; Mammalia; Rodentia; Heteromyidae.